GAUGAACGCUGGCGGUAUGCUUAACACAUGCAAGUCGAACGGACUCUUCGGAGUUAGUGGCGGACGGGUGAGUAACGCGUGAGAAUCUGGCUUUGGGUUCGGGACAACCACUGGAAACGGUGGCUAAUACCGGAUGUGCCGAGAGGUAAAAGAGAAAUUGCCUGAAGAUGAGCUCGCGUCUGAUUAGCUGGUUGGUGAGGUAAAGGCUCACCAAGGCAGCGAUCAGUAGCUGGUCUGAGAGGAUGACCAGCCACACUGGGACUGAGACACGGCCCAGACUCCUACGGGAGGCAGCAGUGGGGAAUUUUCCGCAAUGGGCGAAAGCCUGACGGAGCAAUACCGCGUGAGGGAAGAAGGCUCUUGGGUUGUAAACCUCUUUUCUUAGGGAAGAACAAAAUGACGGUACCUAAGGAAUCAGCAUCGGCUAACUCCGUG
RNAcentral lists this ribosomal RNA (435 nucleotides) under uncultured bacterium. RNAcentral's name for it is "partial 16S ribosomal RNA". It matches the Rfam family "Bacterial small subunit ribosomal RNA", at positions 28 to 507 of the family's 1533-position model. The record is from RNAcentral.